CCGUCAGGCCGUAGGCCCCGCAGCGCCGCCGCGGAGGCUGCCCAGCGGCCCAGUGGCGGGAGGGAGGGAGCGGGCAAGUCCCUGUGGCCACCCAGCCCUGAGCUGACCCGACCCGUGCUCUCCCCGGGAAGCUGACUCAACCGGAAACUGCCCUGGGCCGCUCUUAACCACGCCGAGGUUGGUGUUUUACAAAAGUGACGAGGUUGCUCUUUCAGAAGCUGACCUCAAGUUGAACCACCUGCCAAGUAAGACAUAAGAUUUGCCUCUUGCAGAGAGAGGUCUACUUAAUGAGACUUUAAGCCCAGAGAAACGACAUCUAAAGUUGAAUGCUCAGGCACCCUGGCUGGUGUAGAGGAUUCCUCCUGCAAAUGACACGUAGGGGAGGUGGUCAUCCGGUCUGCGGCAGAUGCUGCUAAGAGCCAAUGGUUGAUUCCUAACUCGAUGGUUUGGCACCUAGGACAGGACACAGAAGCGAAGCACGACUUGAGCCUAAUUAAGAAGAAGGGUUAAGCUGUCAGGCUCUGGGGUCAGACUGAACAAUUUCAAAUCCUCCCUGUGCACGUUUACUGUGUGCCUGUGGCAUUACGGUGGAGACCUUAGUGCAUCAGUGCCUUUUUUUUAAUGCCACAAAUUUCCCUUUAUUAAGUAGUCAAGACAAAACCACAUAGUAAAUAUAUAUACUCUAACAACAUAGCCAUUUGAAAAAAUAGUGCACGUAAAUUAAAAGAAAAAAUGUUUUAAUUAA
Long non-coding RNA from Hyaena hyaena (striped hyena), 745 nucleotides. RefSeq lists it as uncharacterized. The record is from RefSeq and is a predicted model, not a curated record. NCBI's taxonomy places the organism in Eukaryota, Metazoa, Chordata, Mammalia, Carnivora, Hyaenidae. The transcript has 4 exons.